GCUAGAGGAAGGGCUCUGACUCAGUGGUAGAGUGUCUGCUUGGCAUGCAGAAGGUCCCAGGUUCAAUCCUCGGCAUCUCUAGUU
RNAcentral lists this transfer RNA (84 nucleotides) under Sphaerodactylus townsendi. Its description in RNAcentral is "tRNA-Ala". The stretch from base 10 to 81 matches the Rfam family "tRNA". Rfam says of the family: Transfer RNA (tRNA) molecules are approximately 80 nucleotides in length. Their secondary structure includes four short double-helical elements and three loops (D, anti-codon, and T loops). Further hydrogen bonds mediate the characteristic L-shaped molecular structure. tRNAs have two regions of fundamental functional importance: the anti-codon, which is responsible for specific mRNA codon recognition, and the 3' end, to which the tRNAs corresponding amino acid is attached (by aminoacyl-tRNA synthetases). tRNAs cope with the degeneracy of the genetic code in two manners: having more than one tRNA (with a specific anti-codon) for a particular amino acid; and 'wobble' base-pairing, i.e. permitting non-standard base-pairing at the 3rd anti-codon position. Lineage: Eukaryota; Metazoa; Chordata; Lepidosauria; Squamata; Sphaerodactylidae. The record is from RNAcentral.